AUUGAACGCUGGCGGAAUGCUUUACACAUGCAAGUCGAACGGCAGCGCGGACUUCGGUCUGGUGGCGAGUGGCGAACGGGUGAGUAAUGUAUCGGAACGUGCCCAGUCGUGGGGGAUAACGUAGUGAAAAUUACGCUAAUACCGCAUACGAUCUAUGGAUGAAAGCGGGGGAUCGCAAGACCUCGCGCGAUUGGAGCGGCCGAUAUCAGAUUAGGUAGUUGGUGGGGUAAAGGCCCACCAAGCCAACGAUCUGUAGCUGGUCUGAGAGGACGACCAGCAACACUGGAACUGAGACACGGUCCAGACUCCUACGGGAGGCAGCAGUGGGGAAUUUUGGACAAUGGGCGAAGGCCUGAUCCAGCCAUUCCGCGUGCAGGAUGAAGGCCCUCGGGUUGUAAACUGCUUUUGUACAGAACGAAAAGGUUUCUACUAAUACUAGGAGCUCAUGACGGUACUGUAAGAAUAAGCACCGGCUAACUACGUGCCAGCCGCCGCAGUAA
RNAcentral lists this ribosomal RNA (500 nucleotides) under uncultured bacterium. RNAcentral describes it as "partial 16S ribosomal RNA". It matches the Rfam family "Bacterial small subunit ribosomal RNA", at positions 30 to 523 of the family's 1533-position model. The record is from RNAcentral.